This is a long non-coding RNA of Pelmatolapia mariae (spotted tilapia), 217 nucleotides long. RefSeq lists it as uncharacterized. The record is from RefSeq and is a predicted model, not a curated record. NCBI's taxonomy places the organism in Eukaryota, Metazoa, Chordata, Actinopteri, Cichliformes, Cichlidae. The transcript has 3 exons.
CGUGGAUCAGUGGAUACACUUGUCUCCCCUUUAAAGGAGAUAGAGAGACGAUCCGAGUCAUCCCUAAAUAUGGGCAGGAUAUCAGUCUUGGACUGUCUAACCUGCCGGAGCAGCACUGAAUGACCACCACACAUGAGCAUGUUCCUGCAACAUUCAGCAGCUUUGCUUUUGGGUCAAAGGUCAACCAGCUGGAGAGGAAACUACACCAGUGUACUGG